This 253-nucleotide ribosomal RNA is filed under the name uncultured bacterium. RNAcentral describes it as "partial 16S ribosomal RNA". It matches the Rfam family "Bacterial small subunit ribosomal RNA", at positions 524 to 776 of the family's 1533-position model. The record is from RNAcentral.
GACAGAGGAUGCAAGCGUUAUCCGGAAUGAUUGGGCGUAAAGCGUCUGUAGGUGGCUUUUUAAGUCCGCCGUCAAAUCCCAGGGCUCAACCCUGGACAGGCGGUGGAAACUACCAAGCUGGAGUACGGUAGGGGCAGAGGGAAUUUCCGGUGGAGCGGUGAAAUGCGUAGAGAUCCGGAGGAACACCAAAGGCGAAGGCAGUGUCCUGGGGAGUACCUGACGCUCAGGUGCGAAAGCCAGGGGAGCGAACGGG